UACGUAGGGUGCAAGCGUUGUCCGGAAUUAUUGGGCGUAAAGAGCUCGUAGGCGGUCUGUCGCGUCGGCUGUGAAAUCCCGGAGCUCAACUCCGGGUCUGCAGUCGAUACGGGCAAACUGGAGUACUGCAGGGGAGACUGGAAUUCCUGGUGUAGCGGUGGAAUGCGCAGAUAUCAGGAGGAACACCAAUGGCGAAGGCAGAUCUCUGGGCCGUAACUGACGCUGAGGAGCGAAAGCAUGGGGAGCGAACAGG
RNAcentral lists this ribosomal RNA (253 nucleotides) under uncultured bacterium. RNAcentral describes it as "partial 16S ribosomal RNA". It matches the Rfam family "Bacterial small subunit ribosomal RNA", at positions 524 to 776 of the family's 1533-position model. The record is from RNAcentral.